This 613-nucleotide ribosomal RNA is filed under the name Pseudarthrobacter siccitolerans. Its description in RNAcentral is "bacterial SSU rRNA". It matches the Rfam family "Bacterial small subunit ribosomal RNA", at positions 67 to 683 of the family's 1533-position model. Lineage: Bacteria; Bacillati; Actinomycetota; Actinomycetes; Micrococcales; Micrococcaceae. The record is from RNAcentral.
CGAUGAUCUCCAGCUUGCUGGGGGGAUUAGUGGCGAACGGGUGAGUAACACGUGAGUAACCUGCCCUUAACUCUGGGAUAAGCCUGGGAAACUGGGUCUAAUACUGGAUAUUUACUUAUCACCGCAUGGUGGUUGGUGGAAAGCUUUAUUGUGGUUUUGGAUGGACUCGCGGCCUAUCAGCUUGUUGGUGAGGUAAUGGCUCACCAAGGCGACGACGGGUAGCCGGCCUGAGAGGGUGACCGGCCACACUGGGACUGAGACACGGCCCAGACUCCUACGGGAGGCAGCAGUGGGGAAUAUUGCACAAUGGGCGCAAGCCUGAUGCAGCGACGCCGCGUGAGGGAUGAAUGCCUUCGGGUUGUAAACCUCUUUCAGUAGGGAAGAAGCCUUUUCGUAAGGUGACGGUACUUGCAGAAGAAGCGCCGGCUAACUACGUGCCAGCAGCCGCGGUAAUACGUAGGGCGCAAGCGUUAUCCGGAAUUAUUGGGCGUAAAGAGCUCGUAGGCGGUUUGUCGCGUCUGCCGUGAAAGUCCGGGGCUCAACUCCGGAUCUGCGGUGGGUACGGGCAGACUAGAGUGAUGUAGGGGAGACUGGAAUUCCUGGUGUAGCGGUG